ACGCUGGCGGCAUGCUUUACACAUGCAAGUCGAACGGCAGCACAGAGAAGCUUGCUUCUUGGGCGGCGAGUGGCGAACGGGUGAGUAACAUAUCGGAACGUACCGAGUAAUGGGGGAUAACUAAUCGAAAGAUUAGCUAAUACCGCAUAUUCUCUGAGGAGGAAAGCAGGGGACCUUCGGGCCUUGCGUUAUUCGAGCGGCCGAUAUCUGAUUAGCUAGUUGGUGGGGUAAAGGCCUACCAAGGCGACGAUCAGUAGCGGGUCUGAGAGGAUGAUCCGCCACACUGGGACUGAGACACGGCCCAGACUCCUACGGGAGGCAGCAGUGGGGAAUUUUGGACAAUGGGCGCAAGCCUGAUCCAGCCAUGCCGCGUGUCUGAAGAAGGCCUUCGGGUUGUAAAGGACCUUUGUCAGGGAAGAAAAGGCUGUUGCUAAUACCGACAGUUGAUGACGGUACCUGAAGAAUAAGCACCGGCUAACUACGUGCCAGCAGCCGCGGUAAUACGUAGGGUGCGAGCGUUAAUCGGAAUUACUGGGCGUAAAGCGAGCGCAGACGGUUACUUAAGCAGGAUGUGAAAUCCCCGGGCUCAACCUGGGAACUGCGUUCUGAACUGGGUGACUAGAGUGUGUCAGAGGGAGGUAGAAUUCCACGUGUAGCAGUGAAAUGCGUAGAGAUGUGGAGGAAUACCGAUGGCGAAGGCAGCCUCCUGGGAUAACACUGACGUUCAUGCUCCAAAGCGUGGGUAGCAAACAGGAUUAGAUACCCUGGUAGUCCACGCCCUAAACGAUGUCAAUUAGCUGUUGGGCAACUUGAUUGCUUAGUAGCGUAGCUAACGCGUGAAAUUGACCGCCUGGGGAGUACGGUCGCAAGAUUAAAACUCAAAGGAAUUGACGGGGACCCGCACAAGCGGUGGAUGAUGU
RNAcentral lists this ribosomal RNA (920 nucleotides) under uncultured bacterium. Its description in RNAcentral is "bacterial SSU rRNA". It matches the Rfam family "Bacterial small subunit ribosomal RNA", at positions 33 to 942 of the family's 1533-position model. The record is from RNAcentral.